Molecule: long non-coding RNA, 1073 nt
Organism: Daphnia pulicaria
Lineage: Eukaryota; Metazoa; Arthropoda; Branchiopoda; Diplostraca; Daphniidae
Exons: 4
Source: RefSeq, a predicted model, not a curated record
CCCCAGUAACGUCAACCUGCAGAAGGAAAGGUUCCAUGUCCUUUACGCUCCAAGGUCACGGAGAUCAUUACGUUAAACGUGUCAUGCAAUGGUGUAGAGUUUGGCAACGUCAACCUGCAGAAUGAAAGGCCAGUUUGUAUGUCCUUCACUUUCGAAGGUCACGGAGAUCAUUACUUAAAAAUUGUCAUUCAGUGGUGUAGAGGCUGGGUUAGAACGGGAAGUGUUUGCUUCAUUAUCAAGCAGGUAUAAUAGCUGCAAGGCUCAAGAGGUGAGGGUGAGGAAAAAUCGUAUAAAAGGAGAGAGAAAAGGCUACGGGAUCUCAGUCGAAUGAGCAUCUCCGACACGGCAACACCUGCAGCCCACUAUUUGUCACCAACUGCCUUCUUCAUUGCAAUUCCGGUUCGCAAUCACGGUUAACUAUGGCACCGUGCUGCUGUUUGUUGUUGUAUGGUUAAUGGUUGGGUCAACCACGGGUGUACCGAUGUCUCCUGGACAUGGUGGAUACCAAACAACAGCAGCGAAAGAAUAAUACACCACGUCGCCGCCUUACUACACAUCAACAUCUAGUUACGCAACAUCUACUUACUACGCCGAGGCUCCGAAGUACAGCACCGCCGAGUAUACUGUCCCAGCCUACUACACCGAAGUCCAAAAUUACUACACUACUAUGAAUGCUGCCCCAGCCUACUACACCGAGGCCCCAUCUUAUUUGAAUACCAAAGCGGUCGAGUACUACACCGAACUGCACAAGUACUACUCUGACCCGAACUACACAACCACAAUUGGGGCGGCCAAGUACUACAACGGUAUUACACUACAACCAAAUGUUAAGUCGACCACUAGUGUGUCUCGUGGGAAUGUGGAUACCAAACCGCAACGCCGCCGUCUUAUAACACAACAUACGCAACAACCGGUUACUUCACCACCAAUUCUCCAGAGUAUAAUCCACAACUGAUGAUGUCCCGAACUACUACACCGAAGCCCCAAAGUAUAAUUCUGCCUCGAGUUACACCACCAAGGCACCGGAGUACUACACCACCAAGGCACCGGAGUACUACACCACCAAGGCACCG